RNAcentral lists this ribosomal RNA (314 nucleotides) under uncultured Pseudomonas sp. Its description in RNAcentral is "bacterial SSU rRNA". It matches the Rfam family "Bacterial small subunit ribosomal RNA", at positions 1070 to 1382 of the family's 1533-position model. Lineage: Bacteria; Pseudomonadati; Pseudomonadota; Gammaproteobacteria; Pseudomonadales; Pseudomonadaceae. The record is from RNAcentral.
UUGGUUAGGGUUAACGUCCCGUAACGAGCGCAACCCUUGUCCUUAGUUACCAGCACGUUAUGGUGGGCACUCUAAGGAGACUGCCGGUGACAAACCGGAGGAAGGUGGGGAUGACGUCAAGUCAUCAUGGCCCUUACGGCCUGGGCUACACACGUGCUACAAUGGUCGGUACAAAGGGUUGCCAAGCCGCGAGGUGGAGCUAAUCCCAUAAAACCGAUCGUAGUCCGGAUCGCAGUCUGCAACUCGACUGCGUGAAGUCGGAAUCGCUAGUAAUCGUGAAUCAGAAUGUCACGGUGAAUACGUUCCCGGGCCUU